UUCCGGUUGAUCCUGCCGGAGGCUACCGCUAUUGGAAUCCGAUUAAGCCAUGCAAGUCGAGAGAUUUCGGAUCUCAGCAGACGUCUCAGUAACACGUGGAUAAUCUACCCUUGAGUGGGGGAUAAGCUUGGAAACCUGAGUAUAAUACCCCAUAGGUCUAGGAUGCUGGAAUGCUUCUAGGCUGAAAGCUCCGGCGCUCAAGGAUGAAUCUGCGGCCUAUCAGGCAGUAGUGGGUGUAACGGACCCACUAACCUUCGACGGGUACGGGCCUUGAGAGAGGUUGCCCGGAGUUGGACUCUGAGACACGAGUCCAGGCCCUACGGGGUGCAGCAGGCGCGAAAACUUCACAAUGUGGGAAACCACCGAUGAGGGGAUUCCAAGUGCCAGCACAAUGUGUUGGCUGUUCACUUGCCUAAAAAGCUGGUGAAGUAAGGGCCGGGUAAGACGGGUGCCAGCCGCCGCGGUAAAUACCCACGGCCCGAGUGGUGGCCAUUGUUAUUGAGCCUAAAGCGUUCGUAGCCGGUUUCGUAAAUUUCUGGGUAAAUCGGACAGCUUAACUGUCCGAAUUCCGGAAAGACUGCGAAACUUGGGACCGGAGGAGGUUGGAGGUACUCCUGGGGUAGGGGUGAAAUCCUGUAAUUCCUGGGGGGACCACCAGUGGCGAAGGCGUCCAACCAAGACGGCUCCGACGGUAAGGGACGAAGCCCUGGGGCGCAAACGGGAUUAGAUACCCCGGUAGUCCAGGGUGUAAACGCUGCAGGCUUGGUGUUGGGGGUCCUACGAGGGCGCCCAGUGCCGGAGAGAAGUUGUUAAGCCUGCCGCUUGGGGAGUACGUCCGCAAGGAUGAAACUUAAAGGAAUUGGCGGGGGAGCACAGCAACGGGUGGAGCGUGCGGUUCAAUUGGAUUCAACGCCGGAA
Molecule: ribosomal RNA, 918 nt
Filed under: uncultured archaeon
Lineage: Archaea
Description: bacterial SSU rRNA
Rfam family: Archaeal small subunit ribosomal RNA
Source: RNAcentral